GGACAUCAGCAUUCAAGAAAAGCCAUUCUGGAAUAAUGUGGAUCAAAAACCAGUGGGGAGAGACCAGUGGGGAACAGACUGAAGUCAGGAAGAUCAGCAGGACACUUGGAACAGUCCAGUUGGAUGUGGCUUUAACUCUGACCUGCUGGAAGAUGACAGAAAGUGUGGAAGAGAGCUGACAGCUCCAGCAGAUAGACACCC
This is a long non-coding RNA of Lemur catta (Ring-tailed lemur), 201 nucleotides long. RefSeq lists it as uncharacterized. NCBI's taxonomy places the organism in Eukaryota, Metazoa, Chordata, Mammalia, Primates, Lemuridae. The transcript is spliced from 3 exons. The record is from RefSeq and is a predicted model, not a curated record.